GAGGAGACGAGGAUGCAGGCAGGACCGUUCUGGUCCUUUCUGUGCGCUCCCGCAGUCUUGGGCGGCGUUCUGAAACGACCCGCCUUUUGAGAAAGGAGGCAGCGGGCCAGAGAGAACCGAGCCCGGCCGGGGCGUCGGGCC
Molecule: microRNA precursor, 141 nt
Organism: Equus caballus (horse)
Lineage: Eukaryota; Metazoa; Chordata; Mammalia; Perissodactyla; Equidae
Source: Ensembl